Molecule: non-coding RNA, 96 nt
Organism: Obba rivulosa
Lineage: Eukaryota; Fungi; Basidiomycota; Agaricomycetes; Polyporales; Gelatoporiaceae
Source: the annotation of a GenBank genome assembly
GGCCGACUGGCGAAAUGGCAUCGCGUCUGACUACGACGCCGUGCAUUCCACUGCAUUGUAAUCAGGAGAUUGCAGGUUCGACCCCUGCGUCGGUCA